Molecule: ribosomal RNA, 2875 nt
Filed under: Triticum aestivum (bread wheat)
Lineage: Eukaryota; Viridiplantae; Streptophyta; Magnoliopsida; Poales; Poaceae
Description: partial small subunit ribosomal RNA
Source: RNAcentral
GUUCGAUUUAGCUUUCACUUAUAAGUUUAAGGUUUGUUUUGGACUUUUUACUGCCUGGCCCAGGAGGCGAAGCACGCGGGCCGUGCCCAGUUCUGCUCCGGCGUUUGGAUUAAAGAAAAUAAAAGGCGUUUCUUAUCCCGUCGAGUGUUCCACGGCGGCGUGCCUCCAUCCCCUCCGGCCUCUCACCCCGACCCCGGCGGCACCGGCGGCCGUAAGUUUCUUCCUCACCUCUUCCCUAGUUAAUUUCUUCCCGAUUUUCCGGAUCCGCGACGUCGAAGGCUUCUUCCUCCCUCGGAUUUCCGCUCAGUCCUCGGAUUUCCCGUCACUCCUCGGAUCUCCCUGCAGUCCAAGUUCCGGCCGGUGUCGGAGACGAGACGGCCUGUAGAUAUAGAUGGAGGAGAGGGCGGAGGAGAUCGAUCUGAGCAAGCCGAGGCUGCGCGCGAUGGGGAAAAAGCUACCCCCUUCUACUCCGACGGCGGGAAGGCGGCGCAAAGGUCCCUCCUUGGUCCCCCUCUCCGCCUGCAAGCGCCGGCGGACCCCUGAGGCAAGCGGCUGGGCUUCCCUCCCCACCGAUGUAGUUCACCUCGUCACCAGCCGCCUGCUGGCCGGCGACGUGGUGGACUACAUCGUCUUCCGGGCCGUCUGCUCCGGCUGGCGCAGCUGCACGAGCGACGCCCGCGACCCCACCCUGAGCAGACCGGACCUCUGGCUGCGCGGCUGGGUCGCCCUCUGCGACGGCGACGGGGUACGCCCGGACGACGCCGGCGAGAUCGGCUUCUUCCACACGCGGACAGCCAGGCGCCUCCGCGUCCGCCUACCGGAGCUCCGGCGCCACAGGAUCAUCGGUUUAACCCAGGGACUGAUCAUUCUUCUGAACAAACGCACCGCCGCCGUCCGGGUGCUGCAUCCCUUCACGCGGGUCGUGGUCGACCUCCUGUCCCUCGUCCCCGUGUUCCACGACGCUGUCAGGAACCGGAACUCUGUGCUUGACAUGAAUGCCGCGGUCUGCAGCGCGUCCGCGACCUCCAUUGCCGUGGUGGCAUGGUUCCCGUGGACACAUGUGCUGAUCGGCGCCGAGGCUGGCCGCCCAACUUGGGAGGUCCUCCACCGAGGGCUCUUCCUUAAAAGCAUCUUGCCCUUCCAAGGAAGGCUUUACGCGACGGUCGCCAUGGGUGGCUCAAGGAAGAUCAUGCAGCUGUACCCGAGAUCACCACAUCCUGUGCUUGCUCGUGUUCCAAAUGAUUUUGGUGAUCAGGGGCUAUGUGGCUACUUCCUCGUGGAGUCCGGUGGGCAGGUGCUGCUUGCCGUCCACCAUUUAACUGCACAACAUUGUGGCGCGGAGCCCUUUCAGCAACAUGCCUAUAAGCUAUUUGCGUUGGACAUCGACCGCGGUGAGCUGAUCCCAGUGAACUGCCUCGGUGGCCACGCGCUGUUCCUCAGCAGGGACCGGUCCCUCUCUGUUUCAGCCAGGGACCUCCCUUCUGUGAACAGCAACUCCAUUUACUUCUCUUUGCACCGUGACCCUGUUGUGGUGCACUCCGUAAGGACAGGUUUCUCUGAGCGGCUAGCAGUGUCAUGCCAAAUACAUGACGGGAAGGAUAGGAUCCGACCCUCCGUGCGCCCUUUCACCAUUGCUGACCAUCUUCUAACCUACUGCCAUCCUCAUGAGUGGACAAAAGGACUCAUGUUUCACGAGUACCACUCUAUACCUGAAUCUUUCGAGGAAUUGAGGAAGAACAUCAAGGCAAAAGAUUCUAAACUACGGAUUCCCCGCGUUGCAGUUUGUUGAUCCGAAGGAGGAAACAGAGUCACAGCACCUCACACUAGCCAUUGAAUAGUGAAGGUCAAUUCCUUGGUGGGUCCCGGCGCAUUGUGCAUGAUCUUUUGAUUUUUUUAGCCAGCAGUUUGUCUAUGCUAUGCAUAUAUAGUGGUGGUUCUCGACGAUAUCCAGUUGUGCCUGCAAAAGCAUUCAGGCCAUGUUUGUCUCGCCAGCAUGGGCUUGUCACGACGGCGGGAAGGCUCAUCCCCAUUAAGACAGUUAAAGCUGCGAAGCUGAUUCAUCACCUGCUGGUCACUGAGGCGCCGGCAUGGGUAUUGGGAUCAAUGGAGAAGUGGGAGAGAGCCUUCUUUUGGGCAGGUACUGAUGAAAUCAAUGGCGGCAAAUGCCUUGUGACGUGGAGCAAAGUCGUUCAGCCAACCUGCGGUGGGGGACUAGGAAUUGAAACCUAAGGCUCCAGGGGCUUGCGCUUCGUGUGAGCUUGGGAGUGGCUGCGUUGUACUGACCCUGGAAAACCAUGGCAGGGAUUGCAAAUAUUUGGAGACGUUUCUGCAAGGCUCGUAUUUCAGUCAGGUUUGCAUUACAGUUGUGGGGUGGCAGGCACAUCUUAUUUUGGAGAGAUUGCUCGAUCAAUGGUUAUUCUGUUGCUGAGUUUUCGCCGCUAGUUCUGGAGUUCAUUCGGCUGCCCUGGUCUGUUGCUGGAGUUCAUUCGGCCAGCUUUGUGUACCGUUUGCUUACUAUCUUCACCGGUGCUGACUGCACAUGGAGAUGCUGGGCACCCUUAACCUGCAAGAUAAUUGCCUGGCUAGCGUAUACAAUAUCAGCUUUGGACCUGAAUGGGACAACUUCUGAUUAGCCGAACCAUACCUACCAAUGUAGGAACAGUGGCCAUGUUAUCAGCAUUUAUGGUCUUAUUUUGAUGUUUUUAAACUGUAUAUAUGUGGUUAUAUGAUUCAACCACUACAUGGUGAGUGCAAAUAAGUACUCUAUGUAACUUAUCAUAAUAUACACAGAUUUACUCUUGAUCAUUGGUCUCUCUUCCAUUCACUUUUGCGUCGAUGCGAAUGGCGACUGUGAAGUUAUGGUGGUGCUCUUGGA